CCUUACUCAGCCAUGACAUGUGUUACACAGAUGGGAGAGCCAAGGCAAAAAUAGGCACAGCGCUUCUCCCGGCUCCUGCAGAACAGCAGCAAAAGCCGAGCGGGAUCCCCGAUGAACCCCGGUGUCCAGGAGCCUCCAUGGGCAAGGGGGCAGGCACCAGCCCAGCCUGGGAAAAAUCCAGCCCCAAGGCGAGACCGAUCCACGCUCUUUAGUGAGACCACCGGAGCAUUGCCCCGAAUCCGCGGCCCCGGCACCCGCUAGAUGGGAAAAGUCUGAUGAAUGAGCAAUCCUUAUGUGUCAGGGGAGAAGAGUGGCAGUCACAAUGUCAGGACCUCAGUGGCAGGAUGCACCUCAGCACAGCAGGUUUUGGGGAAAGAAGAGGACACGUGGAACAAUUACGAUGAGAAAGGAGCAAGCUGCAGAUGGAGAAGGUCUGCAGCUUUCCUUCCUGCUGAGUUACAAACUCACUCCUGCUUUAUUCCUCCACUUGGCACUUCCCUGCCUUGGCUCAGAGCACGUAGGCUUCAUCCUCUUGAUGAUCAGCUGAGGAGCAGAUGGAGGAUCAGAGGAGCAGGAUGGCUGCUUUAUGAGGUGUACCCAUGGCAGCAUUCGUGGAAACAACCAACAAGUGACCACGAGCCAGGAUUUCAAAUGCUGCAAUACCCGAAGUUGGAAUGUAGGGGAAGUCAUAGUCAAAGUCAUAGAACCCAGGGAUCCUGCAGUUUUAAAUUUUUCUCAGCUUUCGUUUAAAGCAAAGUGUCUAAUGUUCAUGUUCUCAAACAAAAGCUUGGAAAUGGGAAGCCUUGAACAUCAAAGAAAAUAAAAGAAUCCAAAACUGAUGAUUUUUUUUAUUU
RNAcentral lists this long non-coding RNA (854 nucleotides) under Cyanistes caeruleus (blue tit). Its description in RNAcentral is "lncRNA (ENSCCEG00000011864.1)". The record is from RNAcentral. Lineage: Eukaryota; Metazoa; Chordata; Aves; Passeriformes; Paridae.